UUGGCCUAGAAUGCAAGUCGAACGGGCUGUUUAUGCAGCCAGUGGCGGACGGGUGAGUAACACGUAGGUGACCUACCCCAAAGUCUGGGACAACUAGGAGAAAUCUUAGCUAAUCCUGGAUGUGGACAUCUACUUUGGUGGAUGUUUAAAGCUUCGGCGCUUUGGGAUGGGCCUGCGGCGCAUCAGGUAGUUGGUGGGGUAAUGGCCUACCAAGCCGACGACGCGUAGCUGGUCUGAGAGGACGAUCAGCCACAGGGGUACUGAGACACGGACCCCACUCCUACGGGAGGCAGCAGUUAGGAAUCUUCCGCAAUGGGCGAAAGCCUGACGGAGCGAUACCGCUUGAAGGACGAAGCCCUUCGGGGUGUAAACUUCUGAACUCGGGACGAUAAUGACGGUACCGAGGUAAUAGCACCGGCUAACUCCGUGCCAGCAGCCGCGGUAAUACGGAGGGUGCGAGCGUUACCCGGAUUUACUGGGUGUAAAGGGCGUGUAGGCGGUCUCUCAAGUCCGAUGCUAAAGACCGAAGCUCAACUUCGGGGGUGCGUUGGAUACUGUGAGGCUAGACGGUCGGAGAGGGUAGCGGAAUUUCCGGAGUAGCGGUGAAAUGCGCAGAUACCGGAAGGAACGCCAAUAGCGAAAGCAGCUACCUGGACGAUUUGUGACGCUGAGGCGCGAAAGCGUGGGGAGCAAACCGGAUUAGAUACCCGGGUAGUCCACGCCCUAAACGAUGAGUGCUGGGUGUCCGACAUCUGUUGGGUGCCGUAGCUAACGCGUUAAGCACUCCACCUGGGAAGUACGGUCGCAAGACUGAAACUCAAAGGAAUUGACGGGGGCCCGCACAAGCGGUGGAGCAUGUGGUUUAAUUCGAAGCAACGCGCAGAACCUUACCAGGUCUUGACAUCCACGGAACCCUGGUGAAAGCCGGGGGUGCCCGCA
This 939-nucleotide ribosomal RNA is filed under the name Meiothermus sp. RNAcentral's name for it is "bacterial SSU rRNA". It matches the Rfam family "Bacterial small subunit ribosomal RNA", at positions 43 to 1022 of the family's 1533-position model. The record is from RNAcentral. Lineage: Bacteria; Thermotogati; Deinococcota; Deinococci; Thermales; Thermaceae.